CCCCCAACUUAUGAAAAUUUGAC
Molecule: ribosomal RNA, 23 nt
Filed under: Cytospora oleicola
Lineage: Eukaryota; Fungi; Ascomycota; Sordariomycetes; Diaporthales; Cytosporaceae
Description: partial 28S ribosomal RNA
Source: RNAcentral